GACGUAGGGGGCCAGCGUUAUCCGGAAUUAUUGGGCGUAAAGAGCUCGUAGGCGGUUUGUCGCGUCUGCCGUGAAAGUCCGGGGCUCAACUCCGGAUCUGCGGUGGGUACGGGCAGACUAGAGUGAUGUAGGGGAGACUGGAAUUCCUGGUGUAGCGGUGAAAUGCGCAGAUAUCAGGAGGAACACCGAUGGCGAAGGCAGGUCUCUGGGCAUUAACUGACGCUGAGGAGCGAAAGCAUGGGGAGCGAACAGG
RNAcentral lists this ribosomal RNA (253 nucleotides) under uncultured bacterium. RNAcentral's name for it is "partial 16S ribosomal RNA". It matches the Rfam family "Bacterial small subunit ribosomal RNA", at positions 524 to 776 of the family's 1533-position model. The record is from RNAcentral.